Long non-coding RNA from Xenopus tropicalis (tropical clawed frog), 2402 nucleotides. RefSeq lists it as uncharacterized. The transcript is spliced from 5 exons. Lineage: Eukaryota; Metazoa; Chordata; Amphibia; Anura; Pipidae. The record is from RefSeq and is a predicted model, not a curated record.
ACAGGAAGCUGACAUGGGCAGCAGCUUUAGAAGCUCCUACUGCCAGUACUCAGCGUUACACUGAGCUUCAAUGCGCUGACACAGGCUUGUGCAGAAAGGGGUCGGCGACCUCCUCCCCUGGUGCCUCCACUGACUCCUGUGCCCUAUACAGAAACACUAUCUUCAGAGAUUUUUUAAUGUUAAAAGUUACUAUGCACCGAAACGCCUAAAAAUCCGAAUCCGACAAUUCACCAGCUGAGAUGAUGUAGAAGUCAAUGGCGGAUGCCCCUAAAUGUCCCCGAGGAGUUCCAACGUCAUAUAACGCCCUCCAUUUGUAUUGUUGGAAGAAGAAACAAACAAGAAACAAGCAUGUAAUUAAAAGCUUGCUCAGUUGUAAAAUCAAGUCUCCCCGGACAAGUAAGCCUCUGCCAUCUUUUAGAUAUCUAUAUGUAUAGAGAGAGAGAGAGAGAGAGAGAGAGAGAGACUGGCCAGAUGGAACCGGCUCGUGCAGCUUUCCUAGAAUCAUCAGCCGAACCUGAUAAAUGCCGCUGUCUGAAACAUCCGUGGGAUCUAUCACCAGAGAGCAGUUCCCUUCUGACACCUGGGAUUUAAAUAGCUGGUAUUUAUCCCCAAAAUCAGCCGAUGCCUUUCUCACAUGGAAUCCAUCCAGGUUUAUGAGGGGCACAUAACCUUCCUUAUUCAUUUUGCCCCAUUCCAGUUGGACUUUUAGUGGGUUGAGGUGGCGCCGUGUGUGAAACAUACAGGGAAUUAUAUUGGUUGUAUGCGCCUCCAGCUUCAGCUUCUGUUCAAAUAGGGUAAAGUUUUCAACCUUUACCGCUAAAAGAGGGGGAAAAAAACCAUUAGGAUCCUGGAAUCUGCAGCACAGUCUCUAGCAGCCAUCCCCCUGCAAUAGGGGCGCCUACUGAAUCCCAUCCCAUCAACCUGACAUUGAUAUAUAUAUAAGGAAUUGGUUGCACACAUACAGGGGCAGUUAGUGAUUUAGGGGGUAAGGGCAAGAGAAUUAUAUUUUUUACCUGAUGUAGAUUGGAAAAAGAAAAGGAAUAAUCCGAGUAGAAUGAUGAAAAUGUGAAGACUCGUGGGACCCAUCACUGCUGGGCAGGAGAGUCUCCCACGGCCUUCAGAGAUCUUUCUCUGGAAAAGAAACAAAAAUAGAAGAAUAAAUAUGAGAAUGUGAUCUCUCAGCAUAGAAACCAGCAAUGCCAUUAUCCCUGUCACAUUGAUCCUAUCUGCUGCUUCAGCCCAACUGAGCCUUCUAGUUAUUACAGCUCUGUGGCACUUUGGGCAAAUCCAAUAACUAAGCAAAAAGGUAACCACAAAAUAUAGUUUUUUUCACCAUAAAAAUGCAAUUGCAUUUUUUUCUCCACAUUUGAGCUUUAAAGGAAAAAUAUGUUUUAUUUAUACUGAAGAUACAGUAUUAUAGCAACUUGCCAAGUCUCAGAUACUCAUAUUGUGGCAAGAAAUCUAACUUCAAUUUAUAUUACUCAUUGUUUAAAUUACUUAUAGAAUAUUGUUCCAUUUACAUUAUAUUACAUAUUUUAUAUAUAUAUAUAUAUAUAUAUAUAAAAAUCAAACAUUGAAUAACUGUAACUAGACCCACAGCAAAGUUUUUAAGAAUCCUAUAAUAAAUCUAGAUAUGUAUUAAACCUACGGUUAUGUUUAAAUAAUUACAUCUGUUUGCUAUUAUAUAAUACAGUUAAACGUAAACAUAUAAAGCUACAAUUAAAUACUCACAGUUCGUUUUGAUGUUUUAAAAUACAUGAUGAGGCCACUAAUAAUGGCCCCGUCAAGUUCUAAACACCAAAUGAGCUCAGUUUGAGACGUACAGGGUUAUAGCUUCUAGGCUGGUGAUGUCACAAUGCUCACAAGAGAACAGAGUGAUGAUGUCACACAGCUGAUAUCUGGGGCUGCAGUGAAACUGAGCCUAACAGUUAUAUAACUGCCACUUACCAAUGUUACCUGAUUAUAUCUGAGUACAGACAGUAGCAAUACAAUGCUGGAUAAUCUUCUCAGAGAAAGUUAUAACAGUCACCAAUACAUACACUAUACAAGGGUAUAACUAUCGGGCAGAUUAAUGAGAGAUCAAGCUGUGGAAUAUAACAUAAAAAGAGAAAAAAAGUGUGCAAAUACUUUUUGCCUUUUUCUUUAUUACUCACGUGUCAGAAUAAUUAAACUGAAUAAAAACCAUCCUAUAGAAAUUAGGUUUGUAGCCCUAUUGUGAUGGUCUAAUGCCUAGAUUAAAAGUAAGCCGACUGUACCAAUAAAUUGCACUGCCCAAUGUAUAAGUUAUACACCACUAUGUGACAAAUUCAAUACAUUUCUGCUGUCAGAUACUCUAGUCAUUUACCCAAUAAUAUGUAAAUCUCUGCCAUUCUUUCCCUUUGUGAGGCUGAUUCUGUCAGUAA